Molecule: ribosomal RNA, 270 nt
Filed under: uncultured Glomus
Lineage: Eukaryota; Fungi; Glomeromycota; Glomeromycetes; Glomerales; Glomeraceae
Description: partial 18S ribosomal RNA
Rfam family: Eukaryotic small subunit ribosomal RNA
Source: RNAcentral
AAGCUCGUAGUUGAAUUUCGGGUUAGUAGGCUGGUUAUAUGGAACUCGCGCUCUGCAGGUUUAUGUAACUGGUCUUACUAAUUCCUCCUUCCUGAUGAACUGUAGUGCCAUUAAAAAGUGUUGCAGGGAAUCUGGACUGUUACUUUGAAAAAAUUAGAGUGUUUAAAGCAGGCUAACGCUUGAAUACAUUAGCAUGGAAUAAUGAAAUAGGACGUUCGAUCCUAUUGUUGGUUUCUAGGAUUGACGUAAUGAUUAAUAGGGAUAGUUGGG